UGGCAUGCGCGUGCUAUACAUGCAGUCGAGCGAAUCUGAGGGAGCUUGCUCCCAAAGAUUAGCGGCGGACGGGUGAGUAACACGUGGGCAACCUGCCUGUAAGACUGGGAUAACUUCGGGAAACCGGAGCUAAUACCGGAUAAUCCUUUUCUACUCAUGUAGAAAAGCUGAAAGAUGGCUUCGGCUAUCACUUACAGAUGGGCCCGCGGCGCAUUAGCUAGUUGGUGAGGUAACGGCUCACCAAGGCGACGAUGCGUAGCCGACCUGAGAGGGUGAUCGGCCACACUGGGACUGAGACACGGCCCAGACUCCUACGGGAGGCAGCAGUAGGGAAUCUUCCGCAAUGGACGAAAGUCUGACGGAGCAACGCCGCGUGAGUGAUGAAGGUUUUCGGAUCGUAAAACUCUGUUGUUAGGGAAGAACAAGUACCGUUCGAAUAGGGCGGUACCUUGACGGUACCUAACCAGAAAGCCACGGCUAACUACGUGCCAGCAGCCGCGGUAAUACGUAGGUGGCAAGCGUUGUCCGGAAUUAUUGGGCGUAAAGCGCGCGCAGGUGGUUUCUUAAGUCUGAUGUGAAAGCCCCCGGCUCAACCGGGGAGGGUCAUUGGAAACUGGGAGACUUGAGUGCAGAAGAGGAAAGUGGAAUUCCAAGUGUAGCGGUGAAAUGCGUAGAGAUUUGGAGGAACACCAGUGGCGAAGGCGACUUUCUGGUCUGUAACUGACACUGAGGCGCGAAAGCGUGGGGAGCGAACAGGAUUAGAUACCCUGGUAGUCCACGCCGUAAACGAUGAGUGCUAAGUGUUAGAGGGUUUCCGCCCUUUAGUGCUGCAGCAAACGCAUUAAGCACUCCGCCUGGGGAGUACGGCCGCAAGGCUGAAACUCAAAGGAAUUGACGGGGGCCCGCACAAGCGGUGGAGCAUGUGGUUUAAUUCGAAGCAACGCGAAGAACCUUACCAGGUCUUGACAUCCUCUGACAAUCCUAGAGAUAGGACGUUCCCCUUCGGGGGACAGAGUGACAGGUGGUGCAUGGUUGUCGUCAGCUCGUGUCGUGAGAUGUUGGGUUAAGUCCCGCAACGAGCGCAACCCUUGAUCUUAGUUGCCAGCAUUCAGUUGGGCACUCUAAGGUGACUGCCGGUGACAAACCGGAGGAAGGUGGGGAUGACGUCAAAUCAUCAUGCCCCUUAUGACCUGGGCUACACACGUGCUACAAUGGAUGGUACAAAGGGCUGCAAGACCGCGAGGUUUAGCCAAUCCCAUAAAACCAUUCUCAGUUCGGAUUGCAGGCUGCAACUCGCCUGCAUGAAGCCGGAAUCGCUAGUAAUCGCGGAUCAGCAUGCCGCGGUGAAUACGUUCCCGGGCCUUGUACACACCGCCCGUCACACCACGAGAGUUUGUAACACCCGAAGUCGGUGGGGUAACCGCAAGGAGCCAGCCGCCUAAGGUGACAGAGUAGAACACA
This 1461-nucleotide ribosomal RNA is filed under the name uncultured bacterium. RNAcentral's name for it is "bacterial SSU rRNA". It matches the Rfam family "Bacterial small subunit ribosomal RNA". The record is from RNAcentral.